AAUAGAUACCCUGGUAGUCCACGCCGUAAACGACGAGUGCUAAGUGUUAGAGGGUUUCCGCCCUUUAGUGCUGCAGCUAACGCAUUAAGCACUCCGCCUGGGGAGUACGGUCGCAAGACUGAAACUCAAAGGAAUUGACGGGGGCCCGCACAAGCGGUGGAGCAUGUGGUUUAAUUCGAAGCAACGCGAAGAACCUUACCAGGUCUUGACAUCCCACUGACCGGUAUAGAGAUAUACCUUUCCCUUCGGGGACAGUGGUGACAGGUGGUGCAUGGUUGUCGUCAGCUCGUGUCGUGAGAUGUUGGGUUAAGUCCCGCAACGAGCGCAACCCUUGAUCUUAGUUGCCAGCAUUUAGUUGGGCACUCUAAGGUGACUGCCGGUGACAAACCGGAGGAAGGUGGAGAUGACGUCAAAUCAUCAUGCCCCUUAUGACCUGGGCUACACACGUGCUACAAUGGAUGGUACAAAGGGCUGCAAGACUGCGAAGUCAAGCCAAUCCCAUAAAACCAUUCUCAGUUCGGAUUGC
RNAcentral lists this ribosomal RNA (526 nucleotides) under uncultured bacterium. Its description in RNAcentral is "bacterial SSU rRNA". It matches the Rfam family "Bacterial small subunit ribosomal RNA", at positions 777 to 1301 of the family's 1533-position model. The record is from RNAcentral.